AUUUGGGCAGGAUUUCAAGGGAGCCUGGAGCCAGGGGAGCCUGCUUUAGUCCAAUUAAGUGAAGCAGUAUCAGGUGGAAAGUAAUUCUGAGUAUUCACCAUUAUGGGGAGUUUUGUGUUUAAGCGCCUCUACGGACCUUCUUUUAAUGAAGAACUAAACUGUGGGGUCUGGAGGUGGGCUGGAGGAAGUGCUCCAAAUUGCAGCGCUGAUUCCCUGCCCCGCAGCAGGAAGGCAGACAAGGGCCUGCACUUUCCAAAAGGCUCCACCUUCCAGCUCCCUCAGGCACUCCCACAGGGCCCUGGGACUCCUCUGUGGAUAUGUCAUUUUCCCUUCCGUAAAGAUAAUGGGAACCUCGGCAGGCCUGGGGGUCUGAGAACCUGUAUCUGAAUGAUCACGGUUGGAGCCAACUCGCUGAAAUCUUCAGGGGUCUUCUUUCUACUUCCUGCCUUCUUUCUUCCUUCCCCUGUGUCAGUCUCCCGAGGCAGCAGAAGCCAAGAUGGUGAAGGUCCAUGGCAGGCCCUCGCAGCCGGGCUGACUCUUCCCCCUCCGGUGUCGGCCUCCUCAUUAGGCAUGCUCCGUGGCAGGCUGGUGUCAGAGCCGGCCGAUGCAUCAGAAUGCAGGGCAUGCCUCGGGCUCCUGGGAGGCUGCACAUUCCGCAUGAAAUAUGAAGGCAACAGCCAGCCCUGGGGAGACCCAGGGUGAAUUGACUGGAAUAGCAGGCAAGGUGGCUACUACGGGAGGGGGCCCUGCAGGGUCGGGGAGAAGACGCGGGUGCCCAUCACCUAUUUUAAAGGCACUCUUUGGUGGUGGAGGCGGGAGGCACACAGGGAGGGGACGCCUGGUUUGUACACCGUCUGGGCUGGCUCCUGACACACACAGCCCCACCCCACUCCCGCCCCGCCCCGUUCAUUCUUUCUGCAUAUGCUCCCCCUGUCCCCGUGAUUAUGGUGAUGUGCCCUUUUGAGAUAGGCAGCUGGCUGCCUCUCCCGCUGUGCUCAUCACUGAUUCUUGAGCUUCUCUUUGGGGACAACCUGAAAUCAUAAGAGCAGUCCGUGUGGAUUUCGGAAGACCUGACAG
Molecule: long non-coding RNA, 1077 nt
Filed under: Capra hircus (goat)
Lineage: Eukaryota; Metazoa; Chordata; Mammalia; Artiodactyla; Bovidae
Description: lncRNA (ENSCHIG00010005296.1)
Source: RNAcentral